This 490-nucleotide ribosomal RNA is filed under the name uncultured bacterium. Its description in RNAcentral is "partial 16S ribosomal RNA". It matches the Rfam family "Bacterial small subunit ribosomal RNA", at positions 30 to 507 of the family's 1533-position model. The record is from RNAcentral.
AUUGAACGCUGGCGGCAGGCCUAACACAUGCAGGUCGAACGGUAACAGGAAGAAGCUUGCUUCUUUGCUGACGAGUGGCGGACGGGUGAGUAGUGUCUGGGAAACUGCCUGAUGGAGGGGGAUAACUACUGGAAACGGUAGCUAAUACCGCAUAACGUCGCAAGACCAAAGAGGGGGACCUUCGGGCCUCUUGCCAUCGGAUGUGCCCAGAUGGGAUUAGCUAGUAGGUGGGGUAACGGCUCACCUAGGCGACGAUCCCUAGCUGGUCUGAGAGGAUGACCAGCCACACUGGAACUGAGACACGGUCCAGACUCCUACGGGAGGCAGCAGUGGGGAAUAUUGCACAAUGGGCGCAAGCCUGAUGCAGCCAUGCCGCGUGUAUGAAGAAGGCCUUCGGGUUGUAAAGUACUUUCAGCGGGGAGGAAGGGAGUAAAGUUAAUACCUUUACUCAUUGACGUUACCCGCAGAAGAAGCACCGGCUAACUCCGUG